GAUCAUGGCUCAGGACGAACGCUGGCGGCGCGCUUAACACAUGCAAGUCGAACGGAGCGAACGGAAAGAAGCCUUCGGGCGGAAUUCUGUGAGCUUAGUGGCGAACGGGUGAGUAACGCGUGAGCAACCGGUCCCAAAGAGGGGGACAACUUUGAGAAAUCAAGGCUAAUACCGCGUAAGACCACACUGCCGCAUGGCAGAGGGGUCAAAGGAGAAAUCCGCUUUGGGGAGGGCUCGCGUCUGAUUAGGUAGUUGG
RNAcentral lists this ribosomal RNA (256 nucleotides) under uncultured bacterium. RNAcentral describes it as "partial 16S ribosomal RNA". It matches the Rfam family "Bacterial small subunit ribosomal RNA", at positions 15 to 252 of the family's 1533-position model. The record is from RNAcentral.